Long non-coding RNA from Cygnus olor (mute swan), 1321 nucleotides. RefSeq lists it as uncharacterized. NCBI's taxonomy places the organism in Eukaryota, Metazoa, Chordata, Aves, Anseriformes, Anatidae. The transcript is spliced from 4 exons. The record is from RefSeq and is a predicted model, not a curated record.
CUGGCCAAACAAGCCUGAUCCAAAGCACACUGAAGAAAAUGUUUGGCCACUUGCAGGUGCAGUCCCAGUGCUGGAGGGGAGGAGAAGUGAAGGGGAACUGGCUUACAGUGGGAAUACGUCAAUGUGGAGAGUGCCUGGUUACUACAGAGCAGAGAUUUCUGAGCCAGAUUCCAGACAAGAACAAGAUGGGAAACACAUGGCAAUUAAACAGAGUAAAGCUUGCCAUGGGUUUUAAGCCAGCAGCGAGUUCAUCAAGCACCUGAAAUGAAACCUGUCAAGGUGCUGCUUGGCAUUAAGCAGCCAACUUCAGCACUUCUAGAAGCACAAUUCCAUUAGCCAGCACUGGGCAGGGAAGAAGGCUGCAGGGGAAGGAGCAAAGAUCUUUACCCUGGACUGUUUGAAACAGAAGAGAGUUGGAAUUCCUGGAACAGACUGCAGCUAACAUUGAAGGAGUGAUGUCCCAGGGCUGGUGUAAAGAAGACCUGCACAGGCUAAGGGUAUGAGACUGUUACUUCUCAUUGCAUACCCUGACAAAUAGGUUGCAUCCAGUACUCUACAAUUUGCUCACCCUGGAAGUAGAACCUUGAAUUCUGUAAAGACAGUAGGGAGAGACCAAAUCAGGCCCGAUGCUUAGUGGAACGGGAUAUAUCAAUGACGAUGAGGGACCAUUGACUGACAUGUCACCUGCUUUGCUUCCCUGGAGCAGAAACACCUGAGAUCCUUCACCAUCUACUGCAAGUGUCCUUCCUAACAGAUAGCUUUGUUCAAAAGGAAAGAUGUCAAAUAUAGCAAAGUGAUAACCUCAGAUUUAUGAAGCUUUUCUGCAGCAAAUGCUCCUAGAUCUUUUCAAGUUAAAAUGCAUGCAUCCAGAUUGCUUCUGAGCUCCUCUUCAGUGGAUGACCACGUAGCAGAACUAAAUGUGUUCCUCUCCAAUGGGGAACAAGGGAUCCCUUCUCCUCCUGUCACCUGUGCAGAUACUGUGCCUUUCAUUUCUUCCAGUGGGUAGAAAUUAUUCACAGAUUCAAAAGCCUCUGUAAUGAAUAGCUGAUUGUGAAUGCUCAUGUUCCACGUGUCUUUACAAGGGGGAGUGUUUUCAUGUUGCGUUCCCAUGUGUCUUUUUUACUAUGAGACCAAAAGCAACUAAUCUAUUUGGGUAGUUUGUUAGAAAAACAUCAUAUGCCACCACUGCAUCUGGUUUAGAUAUUGACUUAACACCAAGCUGGAAGAUGACAGUGUAUGAUUUGUACCUCCCAAACUCAUAAUGUUGGUGACAGGUAUUUGUAGUUGGUUACACUCUUUUUAUUGAUGAAUUCGCUGCUGG